This 1539-nucleotide long non-coding RNA is filed under the name Oryctolagus cuniculus (rabbit). RNAcentral describes it as "lncRNA (ENSOCUG00000037838.1)". The record is from RNAcentral. Lineage: Eukaryota; Metazoa; Chordata; Mammalia; Lagomorpha; Leporidae.
CAUAAAGUGAAAAAAUCAUGUAUAUAGAUUCACAUCAUUACAUUACAUAAAGUACAAUUUCUGACUUAGCCACAUUAUUUUCUCAACACUAAUGUUAUUAAAUUAGUUGCUUUAUCAAACCUUGCAGAUGUCAUCACUGUUAGCACGACAAUUUACCAAGCUGUAGUUAAUCAGUGCAGUUUGCUGACCAUGGUUUAGAGAGAAAGAGAAAUGCCAAAGCCCUGUUAAAGUGGUUCUGUUGCAGCUCAAAGAACAAGAGCUUCGUGUCUCAGGUAAAUGAAAACAGCUAAUUCCCCUCCCUUAUCAGUAGAAAUAGUCGGAUAAAGAAUAACUAGACAGUCUAUGCACUCACCAGACUCCAUAGCUCCUAAUGAAUAACGGAGAGGUUUACCUUCUUCUGCUUCAAAGUUGGAGAGUGUGGACCAUGUAUGUGUCCAAUUGGAGGUUUUCAGCUACAGUGUCUUCACUCAGAGAUAAGCAGUCUCUUCACAACAUAUUUUCUAAAAUAUCCUCAUGCUCAGUUUUAAGACAGAGCAAAUUUCACACUCGGUGCACUCCACAUUCUCUUUGCUGCACACAUCUUUCCUUGACAAGUUAUGAAGAAGUCCCAGCAGGUGGUUCACACUAUUUACUGAAUGAUGCUGGGAAAUACUACACUACUGCGUGUCAUCCUGCAACCUGUAUUUCCGAUUCAGUGACUGCUGCUACAAAAUCAAAAGCAAGAAUGACAGCACUAUUAGGUUGUGUUUGGAGCUGUGUGUGUGUGUGUGUGUGUGUGUGUGUAACAAUGAUUUAGGGGCCGGUGCUGUGACGUAACAGGUAAAGCCACCGCCUGCAAUGCCGGCAUCCCAUCUGUCCUGGGUGCUCCCCUUCCCAUCCAGUUCGCUGCUAUGGCCUGGGCAAUCAACUGCUGCUUCCCAUGCUCAUUAGCACAGAACUGGAUCAGAAGUAGAGCAGCUGGAACUAGAACUGAGCAUUCCAAGUGGAUGCUGAACACACUGCGCCACUUUUCCUGCCCACUUUGAUCCAUUUUGAAGUCAUUUUUGUAUAGUGAGAGUUAAAGCAAAGUUAAGUCUUUAAAAAAAAAGAUUAAAUUUUCUGCAAAUCCAAUUUUCUCAUAAGAAUCUAUGGAAGAGCUUGCCUUUCUCCAAUAUAUGUUUUUGGCAUCUUCACUGAUAAUCAGUUGGCUGUAGAUGCAUGGAUUUAUUUCUAGCAUCUCUCUUCUGUUCCAUUGAUCUAUGUAGCAGCACCAUGAUGCUUUAGUUAGUAUAGUGCUUAGUAUGCACUGAGGCUUGGUAUUGUGAUGCCUCUGGCUUAUAAAGUUUGCUCAAGAUUGCAUUGGCUAUUUGGAGUCUUCUGUGUUUCCAUACAAUUUUAGGAUUUUUUUCCAGUUCUGUGAAGAAUGCCAUUGGUAUUUGGAUGGCAAUUACGUUAAAUCUGUAAAUUAUUUGCAAUAUUAUGAAAAUUUUAACACUAUUAAUUCUAAGUCUUCCAAUUCGUGAACAUGAGAGGUCUUUCUACUUUUGAAUGUCUUCUUCA